GAUGAACGCUAGCUACAGGCUUAACACAUGCAAGUCGAGGGGUAGCAGGGUAGCAAUACCGCUGACGACCGGCGCACGGGUGAGUAACACGUAUCCAACCUUCCCAUGACUCUGGGAUAGCCUUUCGAAAGAAAGAUUAAUACCGGAUGGUACUUUUUCAAGGCAUCUUGAGAAAGUUAAAGAUUUAUUGGUUAUGGAUGGGGAUGCGUUCCAUUAGAUAGUUGGUGAGGUAACGGCUCACCAAGUCUUCGAUGGAUAGGGGUUCUGAGAGGAAGGUCCCCCACAUUGGUACUGAGACACGGACCAAACUCCUACGGGAGGCAGCAGUGAGGAAUAUUGGUCAAUGGGCGAGAGCCUGAACCAGCCAAGUAGCGUGAAGGAUGAAGGUCCUAUGGAUUGUAAACUUCUUUUAUAGUAGAAUAAAGUGAUCCACGUGUGGAUUUUUGUAUGUAUACUAUGAAUAAGGAUCGGCUAACUCCGUGCCAGCAGCCGCGGUAAUACGU
RNAcentral lists this ribosomal RNA (503 nucleotides) under uncultured bacterium. RNAcentral describes it as "bacterial SSU rRNA". It matches the Rfam family "Bacterial small subunit ribosomal RNA", at positions 28 to 528 of the family's 1533-position model. The record is from RNAcentral.